AUCCCCUGCACUCCGGGUGUGCUGACCCCUGCGAUUUCCCCAAAUGCGGGAAACUCGACUGCAUAAUUUGUGGUAGUGGGGGACUGCGUUCGCGCUCUCCCCUG
Small nuclear RNA from Meleagris gallopavo (turkey), 104 nucleotides. Its record names the gene U1. It matches the Rfam family "U1 spliceosomal RNA". From Rfam's summary of the family: U1 is a small nuclear RNA (snRNA) component of the spliceosome (involved in pre-mRNA splicing). Its 5' end forms complementary base pairs with the 5' splice junction, thus defining the 5' donor site of an intron. There are significant differences in sequence and secondary structure between metazoan and yeast U1 snRNAs, the latter being much longer (568 nucleotides as compared to 164 nucleotides in human). The record is from Ensembl. Lineage: Eukaryota; Metazoa; Chordata; Aves; Galliformes; Phasianidae.